Long non-coding RNA from Syngnathus typhle (broad-nosed pipefish), 6417 nucleotides. RefSeq lists it as uncharacterized. NCBI's taxonomy places the organism in Eukaryota, Metazoa, Chordata, Actinopteri, Syngnathiformes, Syngnathidae. The transcript has 10 exons. The record is from RefSeq and is a predicted model, not a curated record.
UUUCUGCUGCGGGGCUCCUGAGAACAUUAACGCUCAUUAGGGCCCCGAGCGUGCACUGCAAAGGCUUUCUUACCGUCGCCUCGGGCGAGCUGUCGUUAUUCUCCGAGCAAAUAAAGCGAGCGGCGUUUGAAAGUUAGCUUGCUUGCGCAAAUCCAGAACUCGCCGGGUGCGGGAGGGAGCUCACAAAAAAGCUUUCUAGAGCCCUUUAGUUCUUCCACAUUUUUUCCUGAUUGCUCCCAAAAUUGAAGCACUGGCGUCCUUCCGUUCUUUUUUGUAAACCACAAACGCGCACCAUCGGAGCGGAGCGCACGUGUCUGCGAAAUACGUGCAAGAUCUCUGCUCCGUCGACGCUGCACGGCGGCGGCCAAUUUCCACCAGAAGAAAGCGAGGGGAGGCGUCGAUGAGCAGUUUUUAAUUAACUUUGGAAGACGUUUGAGGCAGGGCAGCGAGCGAAGGAGCGAGCGAAGGAGCGAGCGAGGGCUUUGCGACUCCUUCAGAUCGUCUUUGCUCCUCCGCGAGGCGGGAAGGAGGAAGAGGAGGAGGAGGAGGGUGGCAGAGAAGACGAAUGCGUGGGGGGAAGUAAAGCGUGGAAGCGGCGGCCGUCACCUCUCGCCGUGUGUGAUUGACAGCUCACUUUAUUCCCCUCCUCCUCCUCAUUUUGUUUGGUAGGUGUUUAUUUGCCGCCGUCGAGUAACUCGUCUCCAUCCGGGAGCGUCUUAACACCCAGCGCCUAGGUGAUGCCCGAUUUAAUGGAAUGAAUUCAAGCGUGCAACGCUCGUCGUGUCAGCAGAAUAUCGUCAUUCCUGUGAGUUGAUUAAAAUCGAUCAAGUCAAAGGAAAAUAAAUAUAGAGUCAGUAAGACCUCCAAAUAAUUUUAUUUUAUUAUUUUUAGUAUCAUUUCAAAUGAAUCGCUAUUGUCUUUUAAAUGUGAUAUUGUUGUGAGUGCCGGUCGCCCUAAUUGUGUUUCUACCGAUUGGCUCGUUCUCCCAGACGGACUCCAUCUUUAGCAAGCGGCUCUCUGCUUCCACGGCUGCCAGCGGUGUGGGCCGCAACACCCCCGCCCUGCCUUCUCCCCUAAUUGAAGUUAAACAGCUGACAAAUAGAACCCCCCCCCAAUCCCGCAGAUGCUUAUAAAUGUCAACAUACGCUCCCACUUGGACUGACACUCCCCCGGGGACAACAGCAAGUGUCUCUUAUGCUAAUCACUUCUCUUCCUCUGGCGGCCAGCGAAAGAAAGGAAAAAAAGAAGAAAAAAAACGCUGGUGGAUGAUAAGACCACCGUGUCUCAGCUGGGCUUAAGUCACCAAAACUAACAUCUAACCUGUGGAAAUUCAAAAGGGCACUUACGGAACGAGGACGGGAUGCCCAGAACCGAAGCCCACAACAGACUCAAAUCCCAAAAAGUCAAAAAGCUUCAGCUGCUCUUUCUCCAUCUCACCACUUGGCGGCGCAAUUUGAAGUGGCGCUCGCACUUCCUCGGUGGUCCUCGCCAUGUGUGCUUCCUCAUCCCCGUGGAAACGCCGGCCGGCCGGGCGCCCGUGGCAAAGGCCCGCCCACACGCCGCCGUCUCGUGUUUGUGUGUGCCAAUACGUCGUCAGGUUGGCUAACAGGAAGUGACACGGCGAGACGGGCAGACAAUGGAUCUGCGCCGGCCCCGCGUCCCACGCUGGUUCGGACUCCCUGGGCCGCAGCAGAUAACCGGUCCGGGAUCCCAUCCCGGCCGGGCGUGUCCUCUGAGCGUGGGCGCGGUGGGGGCAAGACCGCAGGGGCUUGUGGGUAGCGGCGUCAAAAAAUGCUUGUCCGGUCAGGCGGCAGCGGUCACGGUCCCAUUGCCGGAGCUUCACGGUCCCACGCUGUGUUUGGAGCGCUGGCUUGGACCGCAUCUGGGCUGCAGAUAGAACCUUUGGAACAAAAGUGAUUGUCAAGAAGAAGAAGGAGGAGGAGGAGGAGGAGGAGGCCUUGUGUUGCUUGUUCAGAUAUUCAUUGCUUAAAGCGUCAAUGCUAACUUUGUUAGCUGUGGCGCUUUGCAUGAUGUGCCAGUAUGAUGCUAACGUCCAUAUAAAGGCAAAGGCAGUGCUAAGGAUGAAGAUGUUUCGGAUUCCAGAUAGAGAUGCUGAGAAGGAAGACGCUCCAAGCGGAGGAGGAGCUCACUUUGUUUGGCAAAGCGUUUAAGAAGAAAAGUGAAGCUGCGUCUAAUGCCGAAGAUGAGCGUGAUGGUGAGAAACGAGGAGGAGCGACAACAAUGACAAGACGGCCACCGCAUCGCAAUUGGCGUGCGAGGAUCACGCGAAGACGAGGAAGCGUGGGCGCCGUCUGGCUCCGCUUGAAAGUUGGACAUCAGGCAGCGGCGGCGAGUGGGAACGCCGUCCUGCGGCUCAUCUGAUUGGCCGGCGUGGGAAGCGCACCGCCGUUCCCGGGCGGACAAUCCAAGCAAACUCGGACACGGGCGCUUGUUCCCGAGGCGUGGGGGCGGGCGGGAUUUGUCCCACUUUUCCGCAAGCGAUGGCCAACGGGGUGGACUCGGGAGAUUGCGGCCGCAGCGCCGCUUCCCAAACGGGCUUUUCUCUUAGCGUGCAGUUUCUGGCCCGGCCGCUUAACGGCAUCAGCGACGAGCGCCCCCGACACGUCUUGUGCGUGUCCUUUUGUCUGCUUUUUGCAACUACUUCUUUUACUCUUGUAACUUGUCGUCCUCGGCCUCUUCCCAGCUUCGCAUUUGGGCCUUAUGGAACAAAUAAACGGGAUUGACAGAGUUUUCUAUGACAAGCGUCGCUUUGGAUUUUGUAUGUUUUUUUUUUUUCACCAAAUGGAGAUUAGUGAGAAAUAGCCGCAUGGUGAAAGCUGCUAUUCGAGGAACCUCCGUGUGCUUGAAGCCAACUCUUGUGUUGACUUUAGUCCCCCAUGAUGCACCCGUGUUUGGGCCAGACUUCCACCCGAGUGUGGCGGCGGCGUCUUUAGUCCCGCUCAGUCAAAACAAAACUCGUUACAUCAAAAGCCGUCCUUUUCCCGACCUGGUUUCGACUCUCGCUAUCCGGGCCGGCUCCAAAUUCCCCAAAAGUCCCCCCCCCCCUCUCCGCCCUCCCUCGCACGUGAAAAUGUGCAAACAAGGGCGUCUCGGUGGGCCGCUGGCAAACAAUACAGAAAGCGCGUGUGGCGUCUCGCCGUGAUAAGAUGAGCAAGGUAAUCAAUGCUGUAAUGAAGGGGGGGGGGGGGCGGCGUUCCUAUCGCAGGCCCCCAUCGAUGCAAUUUCUAAAAGUGUGUCAGUGUGUGCGCACGCGCGUGACCAACACGCCAUGGCGUGCGCGCCGCAGAUAAGCAUGAAAUAAUUGCGCUGUGACAGCCUUGAAUAAUGUCCAAAUUAGACAGAAGGUGCACGUUAUUCCUCUUAAGGCAGGCCGUGAUGAUGACGAGGACGAAGACGAUGUCGCUGGAGAUAGCGACAAUCAAUCUUAUGCGUACACCCAACACAGCGCGACCUGCUCCCCCCCUCCCUCCCUCCCUCCCUCCCUCCCUCCCUCAUGUAAUGGGCCUGGCUGGCUAACGCCAUUUCAUGUUUUGUAGCUUGCGAGCUAAGCUGCUCUUUUGCCCGGGAAGAGGAAACGGCGAGCGAUAAGGCGCACCGGAGGCCGUUAUCGGCCGGCGCGCUCAUUUCCAGGACCGGUAGCGCGCCGGCGGCGUCCGUCAUCAUCAGUGUCGCCAUUAGCCGCCAUUGGCUGCGCCCCAGCAUCGUUAGCGCCGGCCUGACUAAUGACCUCUUCCUCGUGCUAGCUGCCCCGCCGCAGCUCCAAAAUGUGGACAACGCAACCCUUGGCACGCAUCCUCCUUUUGGUGUCAUCGUUUGGUGAUGACAUCCUCACCAUCAUUUGUGAUGGUCGGCAUUCUGGAACAACCAAAGUUGAAUUCCGGCCCCGAUUGUAAAUGGUGACCUCCUUCCUUGCCGAGGGCUCCCUCUGCGGCGGAGGCGCCCGGCUGGCGGCGGCGGCGGCAGCGCGAUGAGGGACAGGCGGAGAGGAGGCUGAAAAGUGGACCAGAUCAAAUGGAAAGAUAAGCCAGGAGGAAAAAUGGGAAAGUGGAUGGAUUGCCACGGAGGAGAUGGGUGGGGUGGUUAGGGGGGUGAUGCUAUCGAUAGGAAACGGGAGAGGAAGGUGGCAGCCAUUUUCUUCCCGCUGCUAUCGGAAGACGUACGUUACCGUGACAACACGCAUGAAAGGCGGCGGCCCGAGUUCAUCCACUUUCUCUUAUCUCCGCACACGGCGAGACAAAAUGGAGGCCAUGCCGCAACGAUGCCAGCAAAAGUUGACAAAAUGGCGCCUCCAUUUCUCAUUUGGCCUUCUUCCAAAUGGUCAUUUUGGCGCCUCAAAAUGGGAAAGGCACUUUGUUUCCACGCUCGCCCACUCUCCACAGCGCCACCUGCAGCCGUGGGAAAUGUCACAUUGCAGAUGGACGGCUGCUAAAGUCCAGCUAGGAUGUCGCCUAAUGGACCGAGUCAGAUCUAAUCACGGACACUCAGUGAAGUUUCCUCUCCGGCUUUCAGUCGGCCGAGAAUAUUUGAGGCGGCGUGAAACUCCAUCCCGCCGCCGCCUGUGCGCCAUCCAAUGACGUCUUCAAUAAUUCACCAGCCCGCUGGCCCGCGGCUUCCCGACCGCCGUGCAGUCACAAAUGAUCCUAUUUGGAUUCAUUGCUUCCAAAAAUAGUUACUACCAGUGCUGAACUUUUAAUGUUGCCAUAAAUGUGGCCAAGAAAAGCCAAAGCCGGCCGGUCCGAGUGGCCUGCCCUCAUUAAUUGGAUGAAUGUGAUUAGCAGGUUAUCAGAAGCAUCACAGGAGCUGUCGUCCUUAUCUCCUCACGCUUCCUGGGUCGCUGGUGACAGAGUGGAGCGGUAACGGGACAGGACGGCCGCUCGAUGCACAUCGGAUAUACGGAUUGUGUUUGUUACAUUAAAAAAAAAGCUGUUACUUUGAAAAAGUUGAACUCUGACAUCUCUCUUUUCUUUAGCGGUGACCUCCAACAAGGCCUAACGCGUGUUGUAGUGUGCGACUUCGUUUUUCACGCGCUCAAUGCGGACAACUAUUGAACGGUGCAACAAUGACCUCUUGUGGAAUGAAGUAGUACUGCACCUUAACAAGGCGUAAACCUCGAUGCAAAGAAACUCCUCUUUGUGGGUACAGGCUACAAGGAGUAUAUAUUACAAAGGAGACUUUCUACUUCAUUGUGAUCAUCAUUCAUCCAUCCAUCUAUUUUAUUACUCAGGCUGCCAAAGACGCGCUUUUUGGUGAUUUGAAUUGACCUUUCUCGGCUACCGUACACUUCCGCUUCCGUGGGCAGCUAGCUCUUCAGGUUGCUACCUUUUGGGCUUUCGAACUGUAGGCUGGCUCCACGUCGGCUGCUGCUCGUCCAUCUAUCUGCAUAUCUCAAAAGAGUAAAUAAAUCACAACAAAGUAACAAGUUGAAUGGCAGUCUGCUCAUUGCCAAGUGGUGGAAUGGUCAGCCAGUGGGACGAGUGGUCAGCCCGUGGGACUCCAUGCCUGGACCUGAGACAAAAAGAUAUCACGGAGGGCUCUUGAGGCAGCACAGACCCAGGUGAACGAGGUCAGAGGCUGAAGACAAACUGUGGCAGGCUUUUCACUUUCUGGACCUGGAUUUGCCACCUCUGCCUGGAAAGAAAAAGAAACAUUGACACAGCGACUCCAUUUAAGUUUACUGCUUUUGUUUUUUACUGUAGCGUGGAAGCAGCCAGUCGCUGGUGCACAGCGAGAGUUUCGGAAAUGUUGUAAAAAUUCUCCAGGAUGGACACCUGCACACAACACAAACCAAUCAAGCUGCCAUUUAGUACAUUUUAUUUCUGUGUCAACUUUGAAAAUGGAGACAACCUUGAGUUACCUCUGCAUGGUUUUGGAGGGAUUUUAUUUUUGGCCAGCAGGUAGCAGACGUUCCAACUGCAUCCUUACUGGAAAGGGCUCUGCAGGAAGAGGGAGGCAGGUAAGUGCUUUUAAACAAUGCCAAGUUUAUAGUCACCUGGACAAGAGGUUGAUGACGCCACAAGAUUAAAACCAUGUAGAUCUUCACCAUGCUACAGAAACAGGUCCUUUGGUCCCACCUAGUGGACAAAAGGGGGAAAAACAUGCUGAAAUGUUUGACAUGUGUCAAACGUUUGGACGCGUGCGCGUUUCACCAGUGAGGAAUGGAGGGCAGCACCGGACGUCUCUGCAACCACAGCUCCAGCUCGCUGCUCUGAAAGACACGUCAACCUGUUCCCUCGGUUCCAGAUGCAGGCCUGCCUGGGGACAGAAAUGAGAAGACAAUUAGAAGCGCUCGAUCGAAAGAGUUGACUUUAAAACUCAAGUCAGUCGGCCAUGACAGGCUUGUUUUGAGGGUUUGCACCUGCAGACAGAAAGUCGAAAAUUAAAUGUUUGUGCAAAUAA